This 501-nucleotide ribosomal RNA is filed under the name uncultured bacterium. RNAcentral describes it as "bacterial SSU rRNA". It matches the Rfam family "Bacterial small subunit ribosomal RNA", at positions 30 to 523 of the family's 1533-position model. The record is from RNAcentral.
AUUGAACGCUGGCGGAAUGCUUUACACAUGCAAGUCGAACGGCAGCACGGGGCAACCUGGUGGCGAGUGGCGAACGGGUGAGUAAUACAUCGGAACGUGCCCAAUCGUGGGGGAUAACGUAGCGAAAGGUGUGCUAAUACCGCAUACGCCCUGAGGGGGAAAGCGGGGGAUCGUAAGACCUCGCGUUAAUGGAGCGGCCGAUGCCGGAUUAGCUAGUUGGUGAGGUAAAGGCUCACCAAGGCGACGAUCCGUAGCUGGUCUGAGAGGACGACCAGCCACACUGGAACUGAGACACGGUCCAGACUCCUACGGGAGGCAGCAGUGGGGAAUUUUGGACAAUGGGCGCAAGCCUGAUCCAGCCAUUCCGCGUGAGUGAAGAAGGCCUCGGGUUGUUAAAGACGUCUUUCGCAAGGAAAGAAAACUUAUACUCCUAAUACGAGGUGAGGUUGACGGCACCUUGAUAAGAAGCACCGGCUAACUACGUGCCAGCAGCCGCGGUAA